CAGCAGCCGCGGUAAGACAGAGGAUGCAAGCGUUAUCCGGAAUGAUUGGGCGUAAAGCGUCUGUAGGUGGCUUUUCAAGUCCGCCGUCAAAUCCCAGGGCUCAACCCUGGACAGGCGGUGGAAACUACCAAGCUGGAGUACGGUAGGGGCAGAGGGAAUUUCCAGUGGAGCGGUGAAAUGCGUUGAGAUCGAAAAGAACACCAACAGCGAAAGCACUCUGCUGGGACGACACUGACACUAAGAGACGAAAGCUAGGGGAGCAAAUGGGAUUAGAUACCCCUGUAGUCCCUGUCUCUUAUAA
RNAcentral lists this ribosomal RNA (301 nucleotides) under uncultured bacterium. RNAcentral describes it as "partial 16S ribosomal RNA". It matches the Rfam family "Bacterial small subunit ribosomal RNA", at positions 509 to 809 of the family's 1533-position model. The record is from RNAcentral.